CAGCCGGAAGGUCAGAGGAUGCUUUGAAUCCAGUCCUGGGAUGACUUCACAUCCACGGAGAGGGAUAGAAACAAUGUGCGUCUUCAGAUCUGUCCUGUCCUUGUGGAAAAUGAGUUUAUUGUCUUUCACUCGGCACCAGCGCUCACGCCAACGGUUAUUUGAGAGCACAUUGAGAUAUCCACAUGUUGGAACAUCUUCUUCAGCUGACGAGGUCUGUUCAUCUGUUGAUGGCUUUUUCUUUCCUAAACCAAUGAUCUUCGUUAUUUUUUUCCCUGUUACUUUAGUCACAGUGCCCUUGGCUUCUGUUUUUGAACUUUUUUUCCUCUUCACUUGUUCUUUUCCGUUGCACACUGUGGUGAUGCCAUUUUCCACAGCACCCUCCCCAUCUGAGCUCGGUCUCUCAGAUGACAACUUCUUUUCCAGCUCUGUCUUGUGUACUGGAGAACUAGACAAUGGCCCGUCUGAGUCCACUGUGCCCGUACAGUUGCUGCACACAUCUUUUAUAACCUUUAGCCACUGCUCCGCCUGCUCUUUGCUCUGAACUGCCAGAACUAGUGCAUCCGCUCCUUGGUGAGAGAUUUUCAGCUCAUGUUUCUUCUUUUUGCUGUCUUUGGGGAUGUAGGUGAUGCUACAGUCAUUCAGGAGCAGCUCCAUCUGUGGCUGCUGGUCCUUGGAACUUUUGUAACACAGUAGUUUGUUUUCUUUGAUAACACACAGUAGUUUGGUCCAUUGCCCAAAUCGUUUCUUUCUAAGUAGGAAGGCACAAAUUUUGGCAUCCUUCACCAGAUCCAUAGAGGCCUCCUCAGAAGGCCACUGAUGUCUCAUUUUCUUCCCCUUUCCAUCCUCUUCCUCUUCAUCAUAGGAUUCGUAAGAGCUGCUCAUAGCAUCUGAGUCAUAAUUGGAAGUGAUAUAUUCAGGAGCCUUCCCAGGACUAAGUGGCACUGCCUCUUCAUAAUAGCCUUCGGGAAGGGACGAUGUCGGUAAUGGUGGAGGCCCAUUAUCUGGUGGCAGCCACUGCUGAGGUAUUUCUGGCAGAGGCAUUUGAGGAGGUGCUGGCAGGCUGUUGGCAACUUCUGGUUUCUGCACAUGUUCUUUUAUUUCAAAACCUUUUGAUGACUGUAUCCUCAGGAGAAUGUUAGUUAUUACUGCCUUCUUCUCCCUGACAGUGGAAGUCAGAUAUUCAUGGUCCAGAAGUUCAAGAAACAGUCGCAGCUCAACUAUUAACUCUUCCAUGGCUGCGGGCCGUCCUGCCGCGACCGCGGGCACAAAGCAAACUCCGCGCUGCGCACAGCUGCGCAGCUCAACCAGCAGCGCGCAGGCAGCGCCGCGCAAGGAGCAGGAGGCGG
This 1346-nucleotide long non-coding RNA is filed under the name Gallus gallus (chicken). Lineage: Eukaryota; Metazoa; Chordata; Aves; Galliformes; Phasianidae. The record is from RNAcentral.